AGUUAAUGAAAGACUUGUGCUUUGAGCUUCUAACAAAAUGUUAAUAUGUAGAGAAUCUUGUGAUUCAUGAUGCUUUGGUUCUCAACCAGGGUUAUCAAAUAAGCUAAAAGUAUCAGAAGAGGACAAAGAAAGUACGUAAAACAUGGAUAAAAGCAGAAACCGAGAAAAGAUAGCUUUGAUAUUUAAAGUGUUAGAUUAUGGCCUCUAUAUAAUGUCAUAUAUGCCAGAUCCCCCCCCAAAAUCACACCCUCAAAUUAUGAUCUUCAUUAUUCAAAAGAUGUUUGGCGUGUUGGUGGUACAGUGGUGAGCGUAGUUGCCUUCCAGAAGAUGGUUGGUGUAUAAUUACUAUAGAAUUUCUUGCUCUCUUGGGAGGUGGCUUAGUAGAAGGUUGAGUCAGGCAAGCUGGGGCUGUUUAUUCAGUGUGCUGUGCUGUGCUGUGCUGUGCUGUGCUGUGCUGUGCUGUGCUGUGCUGUGUCUGAAUGCCUGGGAGUUUGCGUUGUUAACCUUUCCAGGGUGCUAGAUCCCUUUGAGAUUAUGAUGGAAGCCAUGAAUCCUUUUCCCACACCUGUAUGCAAACAUGUGCCUGCCCAUUUACAGACCCAAAGAAGGACAUCCAUGUACCCCACGUUAAGAAGGCUGCCCUGGACUAAGCCCUCACUGUGACUCUGCUGUUCUUAAGCUUCCCAGGAAACACUGUUAUGUAAAAAGACGAGCCAUCCAGGUCAAAAAGAAGUCAUUGUGGUUGCUAGGUGGGGGUGCAAAGCCAAAGACAAAGGGUGGGGAAAAUACAUGACUAAUAAUAAAUAAAGAGCAUGGUUAAUACCAGAGUCUCCAAACUGAUAGCCCAGAAUCCCUCAACAUGUAGCCACGAGUAUUUGUAAAGUACGUUGUGAAUUCAGGUAGAGGGCCGAAGACUCAAUAUUAAGCAGUUGGGCAGAGUUUUCAUACAUAUAUUUGUCUCUGCCUUUUGCACAAUAUAAAACUAUGAAAUCUCUUUUCAUUUUUCUAUUGUGCACGCUACCACAUUAGGUAGGAAUCAAAAUCAUCUCAACUCCAGAAGUAUAAUUCAUAACAAUUAUAACAAAGCAGAAAAAUGAUUCUACAUUAGCAGAAGAAAUGUAGUAGGAAUAGAUUUAAAAUAGCAUGGUUGAGUACAAAAGAAACAUCGUUUUUUAAAAAAUGGCAGCCUUUAUCACUCAUCAGCUAAACUUAAAGUCAAUGCUGUGAGGCUGUUGCGGGAAAAAAAUAGUCAUGAUUCUUGGGUGUAUUAAAAGGAGUAUGACAUAGAAGGGUAAGAAAACAAGACGUAGUGUGUUUGUCAGACUCAUCAUUGUGUCCUGUUUGAGUCACACUUAAAAAAAGAAUUUGGACAAUUGUGAAAAGCUGAUACACAAGCAACAGAAAUUACACGCCCUUCCAGGAAAAGAUAAGGCAACUGAGGAUUUUAUUCCACACAAGGCUGGAGGAUUUUUUGCUAAUGGCCUUUAAGUAGUAACAGUCUGGUUUAUCCUUAUAUUCCUAGGGCCUUCCGCUCUGCCUGGUGCACAGUACUUGAGAUGAUCGUUGUGUUUAGUGAUAAUGAGUAAGGUUCCUGUGAGAGACUUAGCAGGAGUAAGUAGGUUCAAAUAAAACCAGCGAUAGUGUCAUGACAGACGGUAUAUAAUACAUGAAUUUGCUGGGUGAUUAAUACAUAAGGAUGACUGUCUCACUUGUGAGGAUGAUAUAAUACUUCAGCAGCUAACUGGGGGAAGCUACAAAAUCUUGGUUUGAUACCUCUUUCAGGAUGAAAGCAGAUAAGUCUGCUGGGGUGGUGGAAACAUUCAUUCAUUCAUUCUACAAACCCUGAGGGCCUACUUGGCUAGGUGCUCACGGUCUGGUAGAGGAGACAAAGAUACAAAAACAGAGUCACAGUGUGUAAUGAGUGCCAUGGGAGCAUAAAAACAGCAUGCGCAGGGCUUGUGACACUCAACCGCCACCCCGCGCAGCUUCCAAUGGAGGCAAAGUCACAAUUGACCCCAAUAGACAGGCUUGACAGAGUUAGUUGGAUGGGAGGCAGGUGGGGCAGCCUGUCCAGAGGCGCAGACCUGUGUGUGUGGGGAAGGGGUGAUGGGAGAUGCAGACUCGGCAGUGCUUGUUAACAGAGGUGUGAAUGCCGCGCCUUGCUUGCCUGAAGAUUUCCACCCAGGAUCCUGACAAAAGUCAGAUGUGCACUUCAGAAAGGCCAGGCGGGCUGCAGUGAAGAGAAUGACUCGAGGGGGUGCGGGUGUGGGACAGGCCAUCGAGGCAAGGAGGCCAAAUGGAAAGCUUUGGUCAGGACACAGGUGGUGAU
Molecule: long non-coding RNA, 2329 nt
Filed under: Homo sapiens (human)
Lineage: Eukaryota; Metazoa; Chordata; Mammalia; Primates; Hominidae
Description: LHRI_LNC1336.1
Source: RNAcentral